UCCUUUGACGUUAGCGGCGGACGGGUGAGUAACACGUGGAUAACCUACCUAUAAGACUGGGAUAACUUCGGGAAACCGGAGCUAAUACCGGAUAACAUAUUGAACCGCAUGGUUCAAUAGUGAAAGGCGGCUUUGCUGUCACUUAUAGAUGGAUCCGCGCCGUAUUAGCUAGUUGGUAAGGUAACGGCUUACCAAGGCAACGAUACGUAGCCGACCUGAGAGGGUGAUCGGCCACACUGGAACUGAGACACGGUCCAGACUCCUACGGGAGGCAGCAGUAGGGAAUCUUCCGCAAUGGGCGAAAGCCUGACGGAGCAACGCCGCGUGAGUGAUGAAGGUCUUCGGAUCGUAAAACUCUGUUAUCAGGGAAGAACAAAUGUGUAAGUAACUGUGCACAUCUUGACGGUACCUGAUCAGAAAGCCACGGCUAACUACGUGCCAGCAGCCGCGGUAAUACGUAGGUGGCAAGCGUUAUCCGGAAUUAUUGGGCGUAAAGCGCGCGUAGGCGGUUUUUUAAGUCUGAUGUGAAAGCCCACGGCUCAACCGUGGAGGGUCAUUGGAAACUGGAAAACUUGAGUGCAGAAGAGGAAAGUGGAAUUCCAUGUGUAGCGGUGAAAUGCGCACAGAUAUGGAGGAAACACCAGUGGCGAAGGCGACUUUCUGGUCUGUAACUGACGCUGAUGUGCGAAAGCGUGGGGGAUCAAACAGGAU
RNAcentral lists this ribosomal RNA (711 nucleotides) under Staphylococcus pasteuri. Its description in RNAcentral is "bacterial SSU rRNA". It matches the Rfam family "Bacterial small subunit ribosomal RNA", at positions 82 to 778 of the family's 1533-position model. The record is from RNAcentral. Lineage: Bacteria; Bacillati; Bacillota; Bacilli; Caryophanales; Staphylococcaceae.